AUGUGAAUUUAUUUUGGAUUUUCAGAUGGCAUUCUCUUCACCUGGGGUUGGGGAGGUUCUCAUGGAACAUUUUCUGUAGAUGGGCAUUCUUCAGGCGGACAAUUGGGUCAUGGAAGUGAUGUUGAUUACAUAAAGCCAACAAUGGUGAACUUUGGGAAGAAUGUGAAAGUGUUUCAGGUGUCAUGUGGAUUCAAUCAUACAGGCGCCAUUCUUGAAUACAUCUAAGUUUCUGCCAACAUUUUUAUUAUGCUUAAGGAGGUUUUCUUCCCAUUAUAAGUCUUCUAUUCCUUCAUGUAAUCAUAUUGUUGGAUACCAACUGAACAUCACAAGAAUUCUCUGCAGCAACAAAAAUUUCAGGUAGAAAGCACUUGAGGAUGAGAUUUUAUAGGUAAAAUGAGGUCCAUACAAAUCGUAUUCCUUGUUGUUUAUGUAGAAAUAAAUAAUCAAUAUCUAGAUAAAAAAAUUUUGCCCGAAAUGGCCCUUCUGUAAAAUAAAAUAUUUAAAAAAUAUACAAAUACUGUCUAUAUUGGAAGCAAUUCAUAAGUAAAUUCA
This is a non-coding RNA of Carica papaya (papaya), 552 nucleotides long. Lineage: Eukaryota; Viridiplantae; Streptophyta; Magnoliopsida; Brassicales; Caricaceae. The record is from RefSeq and is a predicted model, not a curated record.